Molecule: ribosomal RNA, 253 nt
Filed under: uncultured bacterium
Lineage: Bacteria
Description: partial 16S ribosomal RNA
Rfam family: Bacterial small subunit ribosomal RNA
Source: RNAcentral
UACGUAGGGUGCAAGCGUUGUCCGGAAUUAUUGGGCGUAAAGAGCUCGUAGGCGGUUUGUCGCGUCUGCUGUGAAAACUCGGGGCUUAACCCCGGGCCUGCAGUGGGUACGGGCAGACUAGAGUGCGGUAGGGGAGACUGGAAUUCCUGGUGUAGCGGUGAAAUGCGCAGAUAUCAGGAGGAACACCGGUGGCGAAGGCGGUGGUCUGGGCCUGAACUGACGCUGAGGAGCGAAAGCCAGGGGAGCAAACGGG